GAUGAACCUUAAAAAGUUCUUUAAACA
This 27-nucleotide transfer RNA is filed under the name Litoria amboinensis (Horst's treefrog). Its description in RNAcentral is "partial tRNA-Phe". Lineage: Eukaryota; Metazoa; Chordata; Amphibia; Anura; Pelodryadidae. The record is from RNAcentral.